GACGAACGCUGGCGGCGUGCUUAACACAUGCAAGUCGAACGGAAAGGCCCUGCUCUUGUGGGGUGCUCGAGUGGCGAGCGGGUGUGUAACACGCGAGUAAAAUGCACUUGACUUUGGGAUAACUCCAGGAAAAUGGGGCUCAUACCGGAUAGGAGCUCCUGCUGCAUGGUGGGGGAUGGAAAAUUUCGGCGGUUGGGGAUGGAUUGGAGGCUUAUCAGCUUGUUGGUGGGGUAGUGGCUUACCAAGGCUUUGAAGGGUAGCCCGCAUGGGAGCGGGACCGGCGACAAGGGGACUGAGAGACGGCCCAGACGCCUACGGGAGGCAGCAGGCGGGAAUAUGGCACAGUGGGCGCAAGCCUGAUGCAGAAGUCUCGCGUGCGUAAAAACGGCCUACGGGGGAUAAACCGCUGUCUCCGGUGACGAAGCGGGAGUGACGGUAACUAGUAAAGAAGCAACGGCUAACUACGUG
Molecule: ribosomal RNA, 468 nt
Filed under: uncultured bacterium
Lineage: Bacteria
Description: partial 16S ribosomal RNA
Rfam family: Bacterial small subunit ribosomal RNA
Source: RNAcentral